UUGAGUUGGUUGUCUUUGGUAGAAAUGUGCAGCAGUGAUUUUCAGUUAUUUUUGUCUCUUCACUCGUCAGGUGUUUUCAUUUUGAGAGAGAGAGAAAAACAGCCCACACAUUUCAUUAAAUUGGUGUAAGAAUCUGUACUAUGGUUGUUCUUGUGGCAAAGAUACCUUGGCUUUAUCAUUAUUAAUUACCCAGAAUCCACAGAGAGCUUCAGUGGGCAGAGCUUUAUGAUGAUGCGAACGACAGAAAGGAGUUCAGAACAUUUCCUCAGAAUCUGCACUCAGCUCUUGUGUUGCUCUGAAUGUCUUUUAUUCAUGAUCUCUCUCAGUCAUAAUGUUGUUCUUUUGUCUCACAGUUCUGGCACUUCUUACAGAGAGUGUUUUUGCGAAUGCAAUAACACCCAUGUCUACUGUAAAUCAUGCUGUAGAAGGAGAAAAGAUGACUCUGUCCUGCAACUACAGUGGAAGUACUAUUAACAGUUUUCAGUGGUACAGACAGCAUCCCAACACUGCUCCAGAGUUUCUCUUGCAAGUUUUUGAAACUCAGGGUCCAGUGAAUAACAGCCAUCAUGUCGCUGAAGCACAAAAGGACAAAAAACAACUGAAUCUGAAUAUCUCCAAAAGUGAAAUAUCAGACUCUGCCAUAUACUACUGUGCUCUGGUGCCCACAGUGACAGGAAACCCUUCUACACUGUACAAAAACCUGACAUACAGUAUGAUGAUCACUUAACAUUAAUCUGAACAACUCCUCUCCUGCAACCAUUCAAAAGACUGAAAUAUAAUCUAAUGUCACAAAACUGUCACAAACUGACAUG
This is a non-coding RNA of Megalobrama amblycephala (Wuchang bream), 812 nucleotides long. The record is from the annotation of a RefSeq genome assembly. NCBI's taxonomy places the organism in Eukaryota, Metazoa, Chordata, Actinopteri, Cypriniformes, Xenocyprididae.